RNAcentral lists this ribosomal RNA (231 nucleotides) under uncultured bacterium. Its description in RNAcentral is "partial 16S ribosomal RNA". It matches the Rfam family "Bacterial small subunit ribosomal RNA", at positions 15 to 230 of the family's 1533-position model. The record is from RNAcentral.
UAUCAUGGCUCAGGAUGAACGCUAGCUACAGGCUUAACACAUGCAAGUCGUGGGGCGAGCAUGGGAGGAUGCUUGCAUUUCCUUGAUGGCGACCGGCGCACGGGUGAGUAACGCGUAUCCAACCUGCCCUUCCACUCCGGCACAGCCCGUCGAAAGACGGAUUAAUGCGGGAUGCAGUCAGAAAGAUGCAUAUUAAUUUGACGAAAGGCUUUAUGCCGGUGAGGGAUGGGG